AUGAACGCUGGCGGCGUGCUUAACACCUGCAAGUCGAACGAGAAGUGAAGACGGAACCCUUCGGGCGGAAGGCUUUAUUUCGAGUGGCGGACAGGUGAGUAACGCGUGGGUAACCUGCCUCAUACAGGGGGAUAACAGUUGGAAACGACUGUUAAUACCGCAUAAGACCACAGCACCGCAUGGUGCGGGGGUAAAAACUCCGGUGGUAUGAGAUGGACCCGCGUUCGAUUAGCCAGUUGGCGGGGUAACGGCCCACCAAAGCGACGAUCGAUAGCCGAUCUGAGAGGAUGACCGGCCACAUUGGGACUGAGACACGGCCCAAACUCCUACGGGAGGCAGCAGUGGGGAAUAUUGCACAAUGGGGGAAACCCUGAUGCAGCGACGCCGCGUGAGUGAAGAAGUAUUUCGGUAUGUAAAGCUCUAUCAGCAGGGAAGAAAAUGACGGUACCUGAGUAAGAAGCCCCGGCUAACUACGUG
RNAcentral lists this ribosomal RNA (477 nucleotides) under uncultured bacterium. Its description in RNAcentral is "partial 16S ribosomal RNA". It matches the Rfam family "Bacterial small subunit ribosomal RNA", at positions 29 to 507 of the family's 1533-position model. The record is from RNAcentral.